GGAUAACCUACCCUUAGGACCGGGAUAACCCUGGGAAACUGGGGAUAAUACUGGAUAGGCAAUUAUUCCUGUAAUGGUUUUUUGUUUAAAUGUUUUUUCGCCUAAGGAUGAGUCUGCGGCCGAUUAGGUAGUUGGUUAGGUAAUGGCUUACCAAGCCGUUGAUCGGUACGGGUUGUGAGAGCAAGAGCCCGGAGAUGGAACCUGAGACAAGGUUCCAGGCCCUACGGGGUGCAGCAGGCGCGAAACCUCCGCAAUGUGAGAAAUCGCGACGGGGGGAUCCCAAGUGCCAUUCUUAACGGGAUGGCUUUUCAUUAGUGUAAAGAGCUUUUGGAAUAAGGGCUGGGCAAGACCGGUGCCAGCCGCCGCGGUAACACCGGCAGCUCUAGUGGUAGCAGUUUUUAUUGGGCCUAAAGCGUCCGUAGCCGGUUUAAUAAGUCUCUGGUGAAAUCCUGUAGCUUAACUGUGGGAAUUGCUGGAGAUACUAUUAGACUUGAGACCGGGAGAGGUUAGAGGUACUCCCAGGGUAGAGGUGAAAUUCUGUAAUCCUGGGAGGACCGCCUGUUGCGAAGGCGUCUAACUGGAACGGUUCUGACGGUGAGGGACGAAAGUUAGGGGCGCGAACCGGAUUAGAUACCCGGGGUAGUCCUAACUGUAAACGAUGCGGACUUGGUGUUGGGGGUGGCUUUGAGCUGCU
This 694-nucleotide ribosomal RNA is filed under the name uncultured archaeon. RNAcentral's name for it is "bacterial SSU rRNA". It matches the Rfam family "Archaeal small subunit ribosomal RNA", at positions 102 to 794 of the family's 1478-position model. The record is from RNAcentral.